This 426-nucleotide ribosomal RNA is filed under the name uncultured bacterium. Its description in RNAcentral is "bacterial SSU rRNA". It matches the Rfam family "Bacterial small subunit ribosomal RNA", at positions 355 to 774 of the family's 1533-position model. The record is from RNAcentral.
UGGGGAAUUUUGGACAAUGGGCGCAAGCCUGAUCCAGCCAUUCCGCGUGCAGGACGAAGGCCUUCGGGUUGUAAACUGCUUUUGUACGGAACGAAAAGGCUCUGGCUAAUACCUGGGGCUCAUGACGGUACCGUAAGAAUAAGCACCGGCUAACUACGUGCCAGCAGCCGCGGUAAUACGUAGGGUGCAAGCGUUAAUCGGAAUUACUGGGCGUAAAGCGUGCGCAGGCGGUUAUGUAAGACAGAGGUGAAAUCCCCGGGCUCAACCUGGGACUGCCUUGGUGACGGCAUAGCUGGAGUACGGCAGAGGGGGAUGGAAUUCCGCGUGUAGCUGUGAAAUGCGUAGAUAUGCGGAGGAACACCGAUGGCGAAGGCAAUCCCCUGGGCCUGUACUGACGCUCAUGCACGAAAGCGUGGGGAGCAAACA